GACGAACGCUGGCGGCGUGCUUAACACAUGCAAGUCGAGCGGUAAGGCCCUUUCGGGGGUACACGAGCGGCGAACGGGUGAGUAACACGUGGGUGACCUGCCCUUAGCUCUGGGAUAAGCCUGGGAAACUGGGUCUAAUACCGGAUAUGACUCCAUGACGCAUGUUGUGGGGUGGAAAGCCUUGUGCGGCUAGGGAUGGGCCCGCGGCCUAUCAGCUUGUUGGUGGGGUGAUGGCCUACCAAGGCGACGACGGGUAGCCGGCCUGAGAGGGCGACCGGCCACACUGGGGACUGAGACACGGCCCAGACUCCUACGGGAGGCAGCA
This 325-nucleotide ribosomal RNA is filed under the name uncultured bacterium. Its description in RNAcentral is "bacterial SSU rRNA". It matches the Rfam family "Bacterial small subunit ribosomal RNA", at positions 28 to 353 of the family's 1533-position model. The record is from RNAcentral.